UACGGAGGGGGCUAGCGUUGUUCGGAAUUACUGGGCGUAAAGCGCACGUAGGCGGCUUUGUAAGUUAGAGGUGAAAGCCCGGGGCUCAACUCCGGAAUUGCCUUUAAGACUGCAUCGCUAGAAUUGUGGAGAGGUAAGUGGAAUUCCGAGUGUAGAGGUGAAAUUCGUAGAUAUUCGGAAGAACACCGGUGGCGAAGGCGGCGACCUGGUCCGUGACUGACGCUGAGGCGCGAAAGCGUGGGGAGCAAACAGG
This 253-nucleotide ribosomal RNA is filed under the name uncultured bacterium. RNAcentral's name for it is "partial 16S ribosomal RNA". It matches the Rfam family "Bacterial small subunit ribosomal RNA", at positions 524 to 776 of the family's 1533-position model. The record is from RNAcentral.